This is a long non-coding RNA of Cataglyphis hispanica, 1776 nucleotides long. RefSeq lists it as uncharacterized. The record is from RefSeq and is a predicted model, not a curated record. The transcript is spliced from 3 exons. NCBI's taxonomy places the organism in Eukaryota, Metazoa, Arthropoda, Insecta, Hymenoptera, Formicidae.
GGAACACACACUUUUCCAUAAGCGCAUAACCAUAAGUAUAAGGAAAUUGAUUGGUUCAUUUUCUUAUGCAUACAUUUGUGAACCAAUCAAUUUCUUUAUGUUUAUGGUUAUGCGCUUAUGCGAAAGUGUGUGCUCCCCGCUUAAAGCGGGGAGUACACACUUUUCCAUAAUGCAUAACGCAUAAUGCUUAGCACAUAGCAUAAUAUGCAGCAAUGCACACGUAAUGUAUGUACGAUACAUAAGAAUUUUAUAUUCAAGAUGGUGAAGUUCGCUUUUUAAUUUAAAAGUGUGAAAUCUUUGGCAAAAUAUUGUGAAAGUAAAAAGUUAUGAAAUAUUCGAGAAGUAGAUACAAUUGAUCGAUUUUCUUUGCGAUGUCUGAUUAUAUACCUAGAUACAGGGCAUCUGUUUUCAUAAAUAUGAAUGAAAAUGAUCUUAUUUUGUUCGUUUUGCAAUUGUGCCUAUUGGUUAUUAAAGAAAAGAAAACGAAAAAAAGAUGGCUAAAUCGGAGAUGAUGGGUUAGAUCCAUUAACGUUGUACGUUCUAUACAUGGGGGGGAUUAUGAACAUCUCUUUCAAAAGAUAAAGUAUAAUGAUCCAAGUAUAUUUUGUCGAUAUACAAGGAUGAGAGAGGAAACUUUUAAGCUUCUGUUACAAAUGACAAGACCAUUUUUGACCAAAUCAAACCAUCGAGCAUUUAGUCUAGAGCAGCGUUUGAUCAUAACUCUAAGGUAGUUACUUAUUUUCUUAUGAGCUGUUUAAUUGAAGAAUGAAACAUAUGUGUAAAACAAUAUCAUUUUUCAAAUGUUUUAUGCCAGUAUUUUUGCAUAUCAAUAUUUCUAUCAAUUAUUUUGUAUAGGUUUUUAGCAACCGGAGAUCAAAUACUAUCUAUUGCAUUAGCGUUUAGAUGUGGAGAGUCAACUGUUCGAAAAAUUAUCCAAGAAACUUGUCGGGUUCUAGCCUAAGUAUUGCAGCCAAUUUACCUUUGUUUGCCAACAGAAGAAAAAUGGAAUAAUAUUUGUAUUGGUUUUCUGGAAAGCUGGAAUUUCCCCAAUUGCGCUGGAUCUUUUGACGGAAAACAUAUAAAAAUACAAGCUCCGCCAAAUUCCGGGAGUUUAUUUUUUAACUACAAAAAGACAUUCAGUAUUGUGCUAAUGGCUGCAUCAUAAAUAUAUGUUCACACUAGUUGACAUUGGUUCAUAUGGUGGCAAUAGUGACGGUGGUAUUUUUACUUUUUCUGACAUUUAUUCAGCAUUGGAAAAUGAAUUACUGAAUCUUCCCAAAGGGACUGUAAAUCUUCCUGGAAGUAACAUUACAAUGCCUUGUUUUUUUCUCGGAGACAGUGGUUUCCCGAUCAGUACUUUGAUGAUGCGACCUUACUCCGGAAAAAUACUUAAUGAAAGAAAAAAAAUAUUUAAUUAUAGUUUUAUUAAUUUUUGCAGAUUAUCUAGAGCAAGGCGUACUAUAAAAAAUACUUUUGGUAUUUUAUCUUCACGAUGGAGAAUUUAUCGAAAGCCCAUUAAUAUGCAUCCGAAAUAUAUAGACAUGAUUGUCAUGGCGACUGUAUGUCUACAUAAUUUCAUAAAAUGUGAGGAAGAUCUUGUGGAAGCGAAGAACAGAAUAUACUGUCCUCCACAUUUUAUAGAUUCAGAGGACUCUGAAGGUAACAUCAUCCCCGGGGAAUGGUGACAAUAUACUGAAAAUGUACUGAGAGAUAUAUCUCCCACUUCAAAGCAUCAUGCAACUACAAUUGCAUACAAACAAUGAGACAAACUGGCUG